GAGUUUGAUCUUGGCUCAGAUUGAACGCUGGCGGCAUGCCUAACACAUGCAAGUCGAACGGCAGCACUGGGAGCUUGCUCCCUGGUGGCGAGUGGCGGACGGGUGAGUAACGCGUAGGAAUCUGCCUCAGUAGCGGGGGACAACUCGGGGAAACUCGAGCUAAUACCGCAGUACUACUCGAGAGAGGAAAGCAGGGGACCUUCGGGCCUUGCACUAUGAGAUGAGCCUGCGUUGGAGUUAG
RNAcentral lists this ribosomal RNA (241 nucleotides) under uncultured microorganism. Its description in RNAcentral is "partial 16S ribosomal RNA". It matches the Rfam family "Bacterial small subunit ribosomal RNA", at positions 9 to 248 of the family's 1533-position model. The record is from RNAcentral.